Molecule: ribosomal RNA, 373 nt
Filed under: uncultured bacterium
Lineage: Bacteria
Description: bacterial SSU rRNA
Rfam family: Bacterial small subunit ribosomal RNA
Source: RNAcentral
GUAGGUGGCGAGCGUUGUCCGGAUUUAUUGGGCGUAAAGCGCGCGCAGGCGGUCCGUUACGUCCGUUGUGAAAGCUCCCGGCUCAACUGGGAGAGGUCUUCGGAUACGGGCGGACUCGAGGGAGGCAGAGGAAGGUGGAAUUCCCGGUGUAGUGGUGAAAUGCGUAGAGAUCGGGAGGAACACCAGUGGCGAAGGCGGCCUUCUGGGCCUUUCCUGACGCUGAGGCGCGAAAGCGUGGGGAGCGAACCGGAUUAGAUACCCGGGUAGUCCACGCCGUAAACGAUGCUCACUAGAUGUGGGGGGUAUCGACCCCCUCCGCGUCGAAGCUAACGCAUUAAGUGAGCCGCCUGGGGAGUACGGCCGCAAGGCUAAA